GAGACAUUGCAAGAGGUGGAUGGUCUCAUAAUAUAGUACUCUUAAAUCAGAGGGAUUUAGCUAAAAGACAAGUGAGUUUUUUAAUGCUAUAAAGUAUAUGCAAAGACCAAGCAGUGUACUGAUGUUAGUGGAGACUUUGUGCCUGUUUAUCCUCAGCAUGCUAAGACAAACUACAACCUCUUAAAAACCAAGCAUAAGAACCAGUAAUGUUUGGAAAGGUUUUCAGAAUUCAAGUAUGUCUUAUUUUGGAUGGUGUGUAGUUUUUGUCUAUUACUUCAUCUUGUAAGAACAUAUGAAGACAGCGCUCAUUCUGUGCCAGUGGGUGGCCUGCAACCUUGUUUAUGAAUUGCUCAAGAGCUUGCUUCCUUUCCUCUAUAAAGGAAUCAUCAAAUAUGCCAUCAUCUCCUCGGAAGGGGAGCUGACGAAGAAGAGCUUUUCCUGGUAAAGGUGGUACCACGACCUUGCUUUCUCUUUCUAGUUCAUUCCUUAGCCAUUCAAAGUCACUGUAUCUUCUUCUGACUGUAGAUUCUUUCAAUUUGAAGAUAGGGAGAUUGGUCUUGACGCGGAUCUCGUAGGUGGUGAAGCGGCCGCGGCCCACUCCCACGGUCUGCGGGUUGCCCACGUCGAUCUCUAGGAAGUUGCUGGGAGGCCCGUAGGCGUCGUUCAGGUUCUGCGGCUUGCUGAUCAGCCGCCGGGUGUCCGCGAUCGUCUCAGCCAUAGCGGAGCGGACGCCUUCCUCCCUCCCCCUCCGAUGACCGGCAGGACGCGACCAAGCUCCCUAACGCGGCCGCCCUCCGCCGCCCGCCCUCUUAUUGCCCCGCGGCCAGCUGACUGCCCGGCAACGCGCGCCCACGCCGCCGCCAGCGGAUGCGCCCGCCGCCCGCGCGCAAGGCAGGCUGGGAGCUGUAGUCCAUAUCCGUAGCACCUCUCGCUGCGCCCCGCGAGGCCGCCCGCCUUCCGAACUACAAGUCCCGGCGUGCGCGGGGAAUGCGUGGCGCCGCUCUUAGAGAGCUUGAGUCCUCGGGCCCGUCCGUGGCUAGGGGUUUUUAAACCAAAGGGAGGUUAGCGAUUACGGCAAAAAUAAUACUUUACUCUGAGCUGGAACUUCUUACCAGCGAAUCUAAGCACUGUGCGUAGGGAUGGGGAAUCCAAGAUAGGUUAUGUUAGCCAGGAGCAUAGGCAAGGUGGCAAAUGGAGGACUACAGAGACACUUGACAAGGCAGUUUUCAUAAUUAAAGUACGAGAAUAAGAAAGAAUCCUUGUGACAGCAUUGCCGAUAGGUGUGGACAAAGCUGUCUGCACUAAGAUGAAGGAAAAAUAUUCUGAUGUUUUCAUUCCAGAAAGCAAAAUGUCAGCAGCCAGCCUGGGUGGGCCAUACCAGGUGCCAGACAUGGGCCAGAGGGAUCCCAGCAAAGGCCCUGCCUUGAAAAUGGAGCCUGGAGGAUGGACAAGGCCACAAGGAAAGUGGCAGUGUUGUCUGCAGCAGCGUUAAGGCUUUUAGCAAUGGCAAAUCCUUUUUUUUUUCAGAUGAUAUGCACUUAGUAGCAGUAUAGCCAACUAGCUCAGAUUUGAUAGCUUACAGAGCUAAGAGUUUGUUAACAUUUCAUUGAUAAAGGAUAAGAAGGGAAAAUUGUGUUCCCAGAAAUUAAGUAAAUGGGAGGCUAGGACCUUGAAGAAAGGUAAACAGGGGAGAAAAGAAUGAGAGGGAGAAGUGUGGCCUUCUCUGCGAAGAUAUAAGGCCAUUGCUGCUUCUGUACCUGACUCAAAUACCCAGCUCAACCAUUGGCAAAAGAAGUGGAAAGCUUCACCAAGGACUUCAGGGAACGAGAUAACUGGUGCUGGGGAGCCAUAGAGAGCUGGGAAUCAGAUUCUCUGUACUGGAAGAUGAAGGGGAAGAUGCUUCAAAACUAGACCCUCCUUGCAUAUGCGAAAGGACAUAUGCCACGCUGGCUGGCUGAUGCUGCAGAGAGAAGGGAAUGAAGGUGGGGGAAAAUUAGAGUCCUUUGAGUCUGCUUGUUUCCUUCCAACCCUCGGAGAGUGUGUUUAUUCUGAAUUAUGGAUCAUAUUUUUUGUGAACCAUGGAACUCUGGAGUUACACUGUCUGUAGUUACACUACCUGCUUGCUGUGGUGGUUCAUCUGUCAGGAUGGAAAAGGUGAACCAUACAUUCAGAAAGAAUGUUUUAAUUAUAUUCCUGGUGUGAACUGUGGGCCAAAUUUCAAAUCUAGAGGGAGAGAGGUCAGCUGUGUUUGUAGGUCCAAAGAUUACGUGCAAGAAAUCAAGCAUUUAGACAAACAACCAAGAGAUCAGGAAUUCAUGGAUUUGUUGCCACACAGUUAUUUAUUCAGCUAAGAUUUUCUUGCAUAACUUCAAGUAGUGUUAUGAAUACUAGAGUUUCCUGGCAUGUACCCACAGAAGUAAGUAUUAAUGUGUGAUUAAUUCUUAAGUUUAGUAUAGCGAUACCUCUCAAGUAGUUAUUUGUUUUUAAAAGAAAAAAAAAAUUACAUUUAACUGGGUGGGAAACCAAAUCUUUCUAUUACCCGGGCCUUGUUCCCCAGCCUUGUGACAAGCUCCCAAGUUAAUACAUUUUAGUCACCACAGGCAUAUUUUGUCAAAACUUCUGGAGAAUGCUGACCCAGGAUAAGCCGAAGAAGAAAAACCGACGUAAGGCAUUGAACUAAUUGUGCAAUGCUUUAUGUGGAAAAGUGACUUCCUGAUGCCAGCGUUAGUAGGUGGUUCUUUCAAGCAUGGUGUUUAGCGAUCUACAUUUGGUUCUUCCAGAUAUAAAUAUUUUGCAUAUAAAUAUAACUUGUUUUAUCCACGUAUAUUAACUAUUGUAUUCAAUGCCACUUCUCUCUUUUUACCUAAUAUUUUUCAACACAGAUGAUGCUCAUAUAUACUUUUAGAUUUCUUAUUGCUUAAAAUGUCAUCUACCAGCUCAUAGGUAUUUACUUUGUGAACUCUUGUUCUAGAGAACCUAAGUAGUGCCCAUGUAGCUGGAAAGUUGUGCAAUGAGCUUCUAACGUAGGGAGCUUAGUGAGCUGACUGAAAUGCAAGCUGUAAACAGACGGAUGUGUAAAAAUAGCUCUAAGUCCAUAAGUUUGGGAACAUUUUUGCAGCUUCAAGAAUCUUAGAUUUGAUAAGCAACAUAAACUAUCCAUUGCAUAUUUGAUUAUUUCUGAAUAGGUAAAGCUAAAAUCAAGUUUACCUCAGAGUGUUCUGUCAUAACUCUAGGAAAAUGGCAUUUGAUGCAAACUUGUGUUAACAAAAACAAACCACAAAAUCCAUUUUUCUAGAGUAGGGUGAAUGACCGCUCUUACAUCAAAAGUACAUAUAUAUAUUGGAGCCAAAGAUGUUUCCCAUGAUGGAAACAUCCUGGAGCCUUGCAGGCAGGUAGACCCUGCCCUCCUUCUGAAGGAACUCAGAGGAGGUUUGGAAAAGAUGCAAAGAUCUUUGGGCACAAACAUCCCUGUGGGUUCAACACACUUGAUUUUCCAGAGGAGUGAAUUUUGUAACUCCAGAGGCUAGUGGGGGGCUUCAGAGGGAUUUUAUUAUGCCCCCUGUUUGUACUCCUAUUUAAGACCACCUAUUAUUUCAGUUAGCUUGCAAACUAAUAAUGCUGCUAAGUUAAGCAUCAAUCUAAUUCCAUCAUCUUUAUAACUUUAUUUUUCUGGAGGCAAGAAAAGAGAUAAAUACAGUGAAUGAAGUGUAUGGAUGUCCUACAGAAUGGAUCUGUAUCUGUUACAAGACAUUAACCAUGACAAACUACAGAUUAUCCAAUUCUUGUUAUUUUAGGUCAACAACAAAAUGUGACUUUGCCAAAUGCAGAUUCAGUUCCUGGGGUGUUCAAUACAGUGACACAUAUCACGGCAUUUCAGAAUUUGCUGUGUACAGAAGCACCGCAAAAAGUUUUUUCACUUAGGUAGAGAAUAACAGAAAAAACCCAAAUGGGAAGUUUUUCUAUACUGUCUUGGAUGACAAGGUUAAGCAGAGAAUCUGUUAACACACACACACACACACACACAAAAAAAAAAAACAGUGACAAUUUAAAUAAAUCAGAUGUUUUUGCUGAAGAUUAUGCUGUCAUUUUCUCCAAUUAUUCUUGACAUUUCACCCAAUUGUAUUGUGAUCUGAGUUAAUAAUGGAAGAAAAAGAACGGCUCUCGUUGCCUUGUUUAUUCUUUGUUCUCAAGGAGAUAAGCUGUUUAUAAGGAUAUUUGUUAUUUAAAUCACUUUUACUGAAGUUGUUUGUUUCCUUGUUUGAGAUUCUAAAAAUAUUGCAACAAUUGUGAUGCAUCUUUGAAACGCCUAUUCACUUCACUAUGAUUUGUACUGAAAUUCAUUCCUAAAUGGGCACAGGUGUUGAUAGCUAGAAUGAGUCAAAACCAAUAAGUGCUCAAUAAAGGGAAGAUGAAAGAAAAUGCACUGAGAACAGCUCUUUUAAGAUGUGAUAAACUGGCAUUUUAGUUCACCGCUUAAUUAGAUACGUAGCGUUGAAGAUGUGCCUGGUGCAACUGCGUAGUUUAAAACAGUUGAAGAUAGAAUUAUGGAAUCAUAGAAUCGUUAAGGUUGGAAAAGGCUAGUAAGAUCAUCUAGAUCAGCCCAUCCCCACCAUGCGCAGUAACCAUGUCUCUCAGUGCCGUGUGUUCCUUGGAUGCCUCUAGGGACAGUGGCUCCAACGUGCUAGAAAAUAACUUCAAGUACCAUUAAUAUUUUCAAGAUCAUAAAUCUUAUUUUUAAAAAAUCAGUAAUACGGUUCAGUAGAAUCUACUAUUGUAGAUUAUGUUUGCAAUCAGUUCUGCAGGGCCUUGAUGUGAUAGUUUGCUCCCUUCUUACAUAAGAAGCCC
RNAcentral lists this long non-coding RNA (4845 nucleotides) under Gallus gallus (chicken). The record is from RNAcentral. Lineage: Eukaryota; Metazoa; Chordata; Aves; Galliformes; Phasianidae.